CUGCGUGCUCGUGGGAUUUGUAGACCGGCUUGCGGCCACGUUAAAAACCGCUAAAGAGGACAGGAUGGCAUCGCC
Non-coding RNA from Thalassospira sp. MCCC 1A01428, 75 nucleotides. The record is from Rfam. Lineage: Bacteria; Pseudomonadati; Pseudomonadota; Alphaproteobacteria; Rhodospirillales; Thalassospiraceae.